GACGAACGCUGGCGGCGUGCUUAAAACAUGCAAGUCGAACGGACUUCUCAUGAAGCUUGCGAUUGAGAAGUUAGUGGCGGACGGGUGAGUAACGCGUGGGCAACCUGCCCCUGAGCCCGGGAUAACAGUUCGAAAGGACUGCUAAGACCGGAUAUACUUGCGGGGAAGCAUUUCACUGCAAGGAAAGGGAACGCUCAGGGAUGGGCCCGCGUCCCAUUAGCUAGUUGGUGAGGUAACGGCCCACCAAGGCGACGAUGGGUAGCCGGCCUGAGAGGGUGAACGGCCACACUGGGACUGAGACACGGCCCAGACUCCUACGGGAGGCAGCAGUUGGGAAUCUUCGGCAAUGGGCGCAAGCCUGACCGAGCAACGCCGCGUGAGUGAUGAAGGUUUUCGGAUUGUAAAGCUCUGUCUUCCGGGACGAUAAUGACGGUACCGGAGGAGGAAGCCACGGCUAACUACGUGCCAGCAGCCGACGGUAAAAGUGUGUGUA
Molecule: ribosomal RNA, 493 nt
Filed under: uncultured bacterium
Lineage: Bacteria
Description: bacterial SSU rRNA
Rfam family: Bacterial small subunit ribosomal RNA
Source: RNAcentral